RNAcentral lists this ribosomal RNA (254 nucleotides) under uncultured bacterium. RNAcentral's name for it is "partial 16S ribosomal RNA". It matches the Rfam family "Bacterial small subunit ribosomal RNA", at positions 524 to 776 of the family's 1533-position model. The record is from RNAcentral.
CACGUAGGGUGCGAGCGUUGUCCGGAAUUAUUGGGCGUAAAGAGCUCGUAGGCGGUGUGUCGCGUCGGCCGUGAAAACCUGUGGCUUAACUAUGGGCUUGCGGUCGAUACGGGCAUCACUGGAGUUCGGCAGGGGAGACUGGAAUUCCUGGUGUAGCGGUGAAAUGCGCAGAUAUCAGGAGGAACACCGGUGGCGAAGGCGGGUCUCUGGGCAGUUACUGACGCUGAGGAGCGAAAGCGUGGGGAGCGAACAGG